AAACAAGAUUUUAACCCGCGGUAUACCGCGGCACGAUUUAUUUUUAAAAGUAAUAUAUAUUAAAAUUUGCAAAUUUUAUUUUUACAAAAUAUUUAUAUUUUACAGUUUAUAAUUGUAAUUAAGUAACGAUAUACCACGAAUUCAUGAGACAAUUGUUAAAAAAACUGAAGUUUUGACCCCUAUUAAAACAGCAUAUUAAUAAUAUUUUAAAAUUUUAUAAAUAUUGAUUCAAAUACAUCCACCAUAUAACCCAAUUCCAAAAUAAAACACGUUUUGUAAUUUCUUUACCCGUCCCAUGAUUUUUUUUUUAAGUAGUAAUUUUUAUAAUUUUAGAAUUA
RNAcentral lists this small RNA (338 nucleotides) under Arabidopsis thaliana (thale cress). Its description in RNAcentral is "ATSL078160". The record is from RNAcentral. Lineage: Eukaryota; Viridiplantae; Streptophyta; Magnoliopsida; Brassicales; Brassicaceae.